Molecule: ribosomal RNA, 604 nt
Filed under: Pseudomonas sp. SST3
Lineage: Bacteria; Pseudomonadati; Pseudomonadota; Gammaproteobacteria; Pseudomonadales; Pseudomonadaceae
Description: bacterial LSU rRNA
Rfam family: Bacterial large subunit ribosomal RNA
Source: RNAcentral
GUUAUAUGGUCAAGUGAAGAAGCGCAUACGGUGGAUGCUUGGCAGUCAGAGGCGAUGAAAGACGUGGUAGCCUGCGAAAAGCUUCGGGGAGUCGGCAAACAGACUUUGAUCCGGAGAUCUCUGAAUGGGGGAACCCAGCCAUCAUAAGAUGGUUAUCACACACUGAAUACAUAGGUGUGUGAGGCGAACCAGGGGAACUGAAACAUCUAAGUACCCUGAGGAAAAGAAAUCAACCGAGAUUCCCUUAGUAGUGGCGAGCGAACGGGGACUAGCCCUUAAGCUUCUUUGAUUUUAGCGGAACGCUCUGGAAAGUGCGGCCAUAGUGGGUGAUAGCCCUGUACGCGAAAGGAUCUUAGAAGUGAAAUCGAGUAGGACGGAGCACGAGAAACUUUGUCUGAAUAUGGGGGGACCAUCCUCCAAGGCUAAAUACUACUGACUGACCGAUAGUGAACCAGUACCGUGAGGGAAAGGCGAAAAGAACCCCGGAGAGGGGAGUGAAAUAGAACCUGAAACCGUAUGCGUACAAGCAGUGGGAGCCUACUUUGUUAGGUGACUGCGUACCUUUUGUAUAAUGGGUCAGCGACUUAUUUUCAGUGGCGAGCUU